GGCUCGGUAGCUCAAUUGGUAAAGCACUCGUAUAACAUACAAGAGUCGAGGGUUCGAAUCCCAUCUGAGCAC
This is a non-coding RNA of Aedes aegypti (yellow fever mosquito), 72 nucleotides long. Lineage: Eukaryota; Metazoa; Arthropoda; Insecta; Diptera; Culicidae. The record is from Rfam.